GGCAAUAUGAGGCUGCAACACGACAAGACUGCUUUCGUUUCUCUACAGUGCUCUACACGCGCGAAAAGUCCUACAAAGCAAAACGACUUCAGCAAUCAAGUACAAUUAUGUCCUUGACGUUUAAAUAAAAAAAUCGGUUUUCAUUCCAGGUCCUUUUACACAUGGGAUACCUGAAAAUAACAACGGGCAAAUUUGUUACAUAGAGUGGCCAGGAUGAAGAGAGAACUGAUUCAAUGGACUUGAAGAAAUGCAGAUAUGUGGAUCCCGCAGGAAAAAAAGAGAGGAAGAGAGAAGCUGCUUAGAAUUUCACCUCCGGAUUCGUAACGUUUCGGAAUCGCCUCUACUGUGGAAUAUCUGUAGGCUGCAUGACUUAGACCUCGGCCGAUGGCACAGGACUUUUGGCCAAGCAGAGAACCCCAUGGUCAGACAGAUGGCCCUAGCAGUAAGUAACAUAUUGUAAGCUAUUUUAUAUUAUAUCAUAUGUUAUCUCUAUCCUAUCUCUCUGCUGUGCCUGGAGCCGUUACAAAAUGGCGUCCGCUCUCUACCUCCAGCUCCCUGCAGCUCUCCUAUCCAUUUUGUGUUCCUCUGCCAAAGUAGUCAGAUAGCAGGAUGAGAGGAGAGGGAGAGAGAGAGGGAGAGUUCAAGUGAAGGGAUAGGUUAGGCUAGAAAGGACGUAGAAAAGAAGAGGGCACUAGUCCAGAGGUUACUGGGGGGGGGAGAGGGGUGUUAUUGUACAGCGACUGGAAGCUAUACAGAAUCUGGUCUUUCUUAUUGGAGGUUUAAUUGUUGCUGACUGACUGACUGACUGCAUACAAACAAGAAGCCUUGCAGGCAGCGCUUCUGGACCCUUCCCAGCUCCUCUUCUCAAAGAGCUGACCUUGGGCAGACGCCAUAAACUGUUAUUUUCUACUGGCCCAAAAUGUGCUGCAGCCUGCAGCUGCACAGACCUAUGCCCCCCCACCCCAGCCCCCUCUGUACCUCGCCCCGACUCCCCCAGCAAGCCUGUGCCUGGCCUGGCCCGUAACACAACCUUCCUGUCAUGCUUUCAGUGCAGAAGAGCAGGAGCAGGGGCCGCUCUAGCUCUAUCCAAUGCCCCUAAUCGUUUCCCCUAUGCCCUAGCUGUAGCUGCAGGCCCCAGCCCUAGCUCCAACCUCAACCUCAGCCCCAGUUCCAGCCCUAUGCCCCAUACCCCAUCCUCAGCCAAGCCCCCAACCCCAGCUCCGAACCUGACCCCAACCUCAGCCCCAGUUCCAGCCCUAUGCCCCAUACACCAUCCUCAGCCAAGCCCCCAACCCCAGCUCCGAACAUGACCCCAACAUCACCCCCAGUUCCAGCCCCAUCCUCAGCCAAGCCCCAAGCCCCAGCUCCAAACUUGGCCCCAACCUCAGACCCAGGCUAUCCUUAGACAGUACUGCCCAUGGCUCUAGAAGUCUGCACAUGCCAGGCAUUCGAUUACACAGGCAUAUGGUGUAUAGAUCCCAUGCUGCUUAGCUUUAAGAUCUAAGGUCAGACCUAAGAUCCCUAAGACCACGGCUAUAGGGAACCACACACCUCCUUAUCUGAUCUCUUUCGCAAUGUGGGAAACAGCUUCAAAGACCCAUGGGGGCCAUAC
This is a long non-coding RNA of Coregonus clupeaformis (lake whitefish), 1612 nucleotides long. RefSeq lists it as uncharacterized. The record is from RefSeq and is a predicted model, not a curated record. NCBI's taxonomy places the organism in Eukaryota, Metazoa, Chordata, Actinopteri, Salmoniformes, Salmonidae. The transcript is spliced from 4 exons.